CUAAUACCGCAUGAAGCAGGGGCCCCGCAUGGGGAUAUUUGCUAAAGAUUCAUCGCUGAUAGAUAGGCAUGCGUUCCAUUAGGCAGUUGGCGGGGUAACGGCCCACCAAACCGACGAUGGAUAGGGGUUCUGAGAGGAAGGUCCCCCACAUUGGUACUGAGACACGGACCAAACUCCUACGGGAGGCAGCAGUGAGGAAUAUUGGUCAAUGGCCGAGAGGCUGAACCAGCCAAGUCGCGUGAGGGAUGAAGGUUCUAUGGAUCGUAAACCUCUUUUAUAAGGGAAUAAAGUGCGGGACGUGUCCCGUUUUGUAUGUACCUUAUGAAUAAGGAUCGGCUAACUCCGUGCCAGCAGCCGCGGUAAUACGGAGGAUUCGAGCGUUAUCCGGAUUUAUUGGGUUUAAAGGGUGCGUAGGCGGCCUUUUAAGUCAGCGGUGAAAGUCUGUGGCUCAACCAUAGAAUUGCCGUUGAAACUGGGGGGCUUGAGUAUGUUUGAGGCAGGCGGAAUGCGUGGUGUAGCGGUGAAAUGCAUAGAUAUCAC
This 540-nucleotide ribosomal RNA is filed under the name uncultured Bacteroidales bacterium. RNAcentral describes it as "bacterial SSU rRNA". It matches the Rfam family "Bacterial small subunit ribosomal RNA", at positions 163 to 700 of the family's 1533-position model. Lineage: Bacteria; Pseudomonadati; Bacteroidota; Bacteroidia; Bacteroidales. The record is from RNAcentral.